GUGUCAGCAGCCGCGGUAAUACGGAGGGUGCAAGCGUUGUUCGGAAUUAUUGGGCGUAAAGCGCGCGCAGGCGGCCUGGAAAGUCUAUGGGUGAAAUACCGGGGCUCAACCCCGUGUAGGCCCAGGAUACUGCCAGGCUAGAGACACGUAGAGGCAAGCGGAAUUCCGGGUGUAGCGGUGGAAUGCGUAGAGAUCCGGAAGAACACCGGAGGCGAAGGCGGCUUGCUGGGCGUGAUCUGACGCUGAGGCGCGAAAGCGUGGGGAGCGAACAGGAUUAGAAACCCCCGUAGUCC
Molecule: ribosomal RNA, 293 nt
Filed under: uncultured bacterium
Lineage: Bacteria
Description: partial 16S ribosomal RNA
Rfam family: Bacterial small subunit ribosomal RNA
Source: RNAcentral